AGAGUUUGAUCCUGGCUCAGGAUGAACGCUGGCGGCGUGCCUAAUACAUGCAAGUCGAGCGAGAAUCUGAUGAUCGGAGAUUCGUCAAAGAGAAUCAGAGGAAAGCGGCGGACGGGUGAGUAACGCGUAGGCAACCUGCCCUUAGCAGAGGGAUAGCCAUUGGAAACGAUGAUUAAAACCUCAUAAUGCUGAAGAGUCACAUGUCUUUUCAGCCAAAGAUUUAUCGGCUAAGGAUGGGCCUGCGUCUGAUUAACUAGUUGGUGAGGUAACGGCCCACCAAGGUGACGAUCAGUAGCCGACCUGAGAGGGUGAUCGGCCACAUUGGAACUGAGACACGGUCCAAACUUCUACGGAAGGCAGCAGUAAGGAAUCUUGCACAAUGGGGGAGAGCGUGAUGCAGCAACCCCGCGUGAACGAUGAAGGCCUUAGGGUUGUAAAGUUCUGAUCUGUGGGAAGAAGAAAGUGACGGUACCACAGGAGAAAGCCCCGGCUAAAUACGUGCCAGCAGCCGCGGUAAUACGUAUGGGGCAAGCGUUAUCCGGAAUUAUUGGGCGUAAAGAGUGCGUAGGUGGUUACCUAAGCGCAAGGUUUAAUCUUGAGGCUCAACCUCAUUCUGCCUUGCGAACUGGGCUACUUGAGUGCUGGAGGGGAAAGCGGAAUUCCCAGUGUAGCGGUGAAAUGCGUAGAUAUUGGGAAGAACACCGGUGGCGAAGGCGGCUUUCUGGACAGUAACUGACACUGAGGCACGAAAGCGUGGGGAGCAAACAGGAUUAGAUACCCUGGCUAGUCCACGCCGUAAACGAUGAGCACUAGGUUGUUGGGUACGAAUGUAUUCAGUGACGCAGUUAACGCAAUAAGUGCUCCGCCUGGGGAGUACGGUGGCAACACUAAAACUCAAAGGAAUUGACGGGGACCCGCACAAGCAGCGGAGCAUGUGGUUUAAUUCGAAGCAACGCGAAAAACCUUACCAGGGCUUGACAUCCCUCUGACCGGAUCUUAACCGAUCCUUUCUUCGGACAGAGGUGACAGGUGGUGCAUGGUUGUCGUCAGCUCGUGUCGUGAGAUGUUGGGUUAAGUCCCGCAACGAGCGCAACCCUUGUCGUCAGUUACUAACAUUCGGUUGAGGACUCUGACGAGACUGCCGAGGUCAACUCGGAGGAAGGUGGGGAUGACGUCAAAUCAUCAUGCCCCUUAUGUUCUGGGCUACACACGUGCUACAGUGGCCGGUACAAUGAGAGGCAAAGCCGCGAGGCAGAGCAAAUCACCAAAACCGGUCCCAGUUCGGAUUGCAGGCUGCAACUCGCCUGCAUGAAGUCGGAGUUGCUAGUAAUCGCGAAUCAGCAUGUCGCGGUGAAUGCGUUCCCGGGUCUUGUACACACCGCCCGUCACACCAUGGAAGUUGGGGGCGCCCAAAGUUGGCUAAUUAAUCUGCUACCUAAGGCGAAACCAAUGACUGGGGUGAAGUCGUAACAAGGUAACCGUA
Molecule: ribosomal RNA, 1483 nt
Filed under: uncultured rumen bacterium
Lineage: Bacteria
Description: bacterial SSU rRNA
Rfam family: Bacterial small subunit ribosomal RNA
Source: RNAcentral